GAGGGUGUAGCUCAGGGGUGGGGUGUGUGGUUAGCGCACACGAGGUCCUGGGUUCAACCCCCAGCCCCUCCA
RNAcentral lists this transfer RNA (72 nucleotides) under Camelus bactrianus (Bactrian camel). It matches the Rfam family "tRNA". Rfam says of the family: Transfer RNA (tRNA) molecules are approximately 80 nucleotides in length. Their secondary structure includes four short double-helical elements and three loops (D, anti-codon, and T loops). The record is from Rfam by way of RNAcentral. RNAcentral also lists the same sequence under 2 other names. Lineage: Eukaryota; Metazoa; Chordata; Mammalia; Artiodactyla; Camelidae.